Pongo abelii (Sumatran orangutan) is the source of this 144-nucleotide unclassified non-coding RNA. It matches the Rfam family "Metazoan signal recognition particle RNA". From Rfam's summary of the family: The signal recognition particle (SRP) is a universally conserved ribonucleoprotein. It is involved in the co-translational targeting of proteins to membranes. The record is from Ensembl. NCBI's taxonomy places the organism in Eukaryota, Metazoa, Chordata, Mammalia, Primates, Hominidae.
GCCGGGUGUGGUGGCGCGCGCCUGUCAUCCCAGCUACUCAGGAGGCUGAGGCAGGAGGAUGGCUUGAGCCCAGGAGAUGCGGGGUGCAAUGAGCCGCGAUCCACUGCACUCCAGCCUGGGGGACAGAGCAAGAUCCUGUCUCAA